Mauremys reevesii (Reeves's turtle) is the source of this 608-nucleotide long non-coding RNA. RefSeq lists it as uncharacterized. The transcript is spliced from 3 exons. NCBI's taxonomy places the organism in Eukaryota, Metazoa, Chordata, Testudines, Geoemydidae. The record is from RefSeq and is a predicted model, not a curated record.
GGCGAUGCCCAGAGAUCAGGAAACAGAACAGAAUGCAGCUACAGCCUGCAGGAUUUCCGCUCUCACCUGAGACAGAGUCUGUGUGGGCUGCCGCAGAGCAGCUCAGCAGAGGGCUCUGGGUGCAAACUCUGCCCCAGGCACUGGGUGCCGCACAUGGACAAGUGCUACUGGCUGUCGGAAGAGAAUCAGUACUGGAGCUGGGGCCGUGAUGACUGCUCAUGGAGGGGAUCUCACCUGCUCGUGAUCCAGGACCGGGAGGAGCUGGAGUUCACACAGAAUCUUACAGGAAAUCAAAAUCCGGUGUGGAUUGGACUCAACAUCACCUCCCCAGGGAGGAAGUGGACCUGGGUGGAUGGUUCCCCGUUAAAUCAAACACUGUGAGUGAUUCCUGAUUAGUAUUUGACAUCAGUCUGCAAUAAAUACAUAGUGUGAAACCCUGGGCCCCAUUAAAGUCAAUGGCAAAUCUGCUGUUGACCUCCAUGGGGCAAGGAUUUCAUCCAUUACAUCUUACAGUGUAAGGGCCUCGAUCCUGCAGACACACCUGGGGUAAGUCUCAUAGAAGUGAAUGGCAGUAUGCAUGGGAGGAAAUCAAAGCAAGUGCAUAAAGG